Molecule: long non-coding RNA, 2990 nt
Organism: Manis pentadactyla (Chinese pangolin)
Lineage: Eukaryota; Metazoa; Chordata; Mammalia; Pholidota; Manidae
Exons: 3
Source: RefSeq, a predicted model, not a curated record
CUGCACCCCUCUCCCACUCCCCCAACUGUCACCACCCCACCCCCACACCACCUCACUACUAUAUCUCUGGACCGCCACUUACCCACACCUCUCACCACUGUGCCCCCGCACUGGCCCCCAACUCCCCCAUCCACUGACUUCCCAACACCCUGUUCUCACAAACCUUCAUCCAAAUGCAGUUUGGGAACUCCAGGGUGCUAAGAACCUAUGCAGCUUGCCCUGAUAUACUUCACCCUGCCCCCCAGCUCCCCUAAACCCCCACUCCCCCAAAUCCCGACACCCACCCCCACACGUCCCCCCAUACACCCAAUAUCCGACCUGCCACAUCCCCCCUUUCUCCCCCCACUGCCCCACAUCUCUGUAUCCCCCCACCACACCACAUCCACUAAGGACCUGCGGAGGCAGAGCCCUGGGCCUUGUGAGCCGCAGCAGGUGGGAGAAGGCGGGGUUUAAGGGAUGCCCAGAGGGAGGCGCGAGGAACCCCCUCCCCCGGAAUCCUUGUGCGUUCCUCCCGGCAGCCUCCAGGGGGCGCUCCGACCCAGCUUCCGGAUGUGAUGUCAUUAGUCUUCCGACUGGGAGGCCUGAGGGACGGGACGGCAUCGGUGUCACGGGACGGAUUCAGGUCACGUACAAGGACUCCAGGUAGAACCGCACGGGAGGCCUGAGGGCCCCCGCCCAAGAACUCAGGGGGCCCGUGGUGUUGCCCUAAGGAGGCCCCGGGAGGGUCCUCAGGCUGGGCACUGCCACGGCAUGCCACACCCAUGUCCCCUCCCGCCAUUUUGAAUCGUGAGCGUGAAGGCCUUGGUCUGAGGAGGGAACCCAGGUGGGCUGAGGGCGGGGGCACAGACGCACCAGGGGUCAACGGGAGGCCAGGAGGGAGGGCCGAGGGCGCCCCUGGAGCCCACCUCAGGCCCUGCCUUCUAUCGCCCUGGGAACUCCUGGGCCUAGUGACCUGUUGGGACGGCCGCAGACGUCACCCAGGAGUGUCUCAGGGCAGGGAGGGCCUUGGUCUGAGGGGACGGGCCCCCAUCAACAUUCACAGGAUCACAGGCCGUGCCCGUGUUGUGGUGAGGACCCUGAGGGAGGAGGGGAAGGGGCCCCAGAGGAGCCGCCCCUGCCUGUCAGCCAUGGGAGGCCCCUGGGUGGAGUGAUUACACGCGGUGUGCCCUGACUUCCUCCUCCGGGCCUCAGAGGGACUGGGACUGGCUUUAAGGAGCAGGCCCUCGGGUCAUCGGACAGGAGGGCCCAGGCCCUGCUGGGAAGUCAUGAUGAGGAGGCCGCGGCAGGACUGAGGGAUCCUGGGCCCCCGAAAAGAGCCUGCCUGGGAAGCUCCAGGGUGCUCAGAACCUAUGCAGGUGGCCCUGACUUCCUCAUCCGGGUAUCACGGGACUGGGGACUUGCAUAAGGAGCAGGUCCUGGGGUCGGCAGAGGGGAGGACCGGAUCCAAAUGAGAGGCAAGGUGAGGACCCUGAGGCACACCUAAGGACCAUAGACCCCAAACAGGUAGGACGGCAGGGCCCCUGGGCGGGGUGUUGGAAGGCCCCAGAGCACUAUAGGCACAUGAGGUGUUCCCUGUCCCCUGCCGCGGGGACUUUACAGAGGUGAGGGCCGUGGUGUGAGGAGUGUGGCUUCAGGUGGACAGAGGGGUGCCCAGCAACGUGGGGAGGACUGAACAGACCUUGUCUAGGAAACGGGGGACCCCAAGCGUAUCUGCCCCUGAGGUCCAUCCUGGGAGGCCAGGCCAGGUGUCAGGAGGAGUGAUGGCGUCCACACUUGCUCCUGACGGGUGUCAGCAGGAAGGUGGCCUUGGCCUGCAGGAUGCGUCCUCACGUUAGCAGAAGGGAUCUUUGCAGGCCCUGCCAGGGGUAAAUAGGAAACCCUUGAAGACGCUGAGGGGACUCCCACUCCAGCCAGAGGGGUUGGACCGUGAAAUCGGCCCUGCCGGCAUGAUCCCUGAAGACCCGGGACAGGGGUGGCCUAAAGGGGUGCGCUGGCACCUCUGUCUCUGCCUCUGAGGGAGGUGGGCCCUGUUCUGAGGGGCGACGUGAGGGGGCAGAGGGAGCUGAGCCAGGUCCCGCCAGAGAGGAGUCCCGGCAUCUGCCGGGACUCAGGAAGAGUAGCCUUGGCAGGAGGGAGGGCAUGAAGGUUGGCUCCCCGGAAAGGAGGAGGGACUGUGCAGAGACCGGGCAGGGCUGGCUGUCUGAGGCAGGCUCCCCCUUCCGCCGCAUGGGCGGGGACGGUGAGUACCCUGGUGGUCUGGGAUCCGUCAUGUCAGCAGAGGGAGGAGUCCCAGGCUGUGCCGCGUGUCAGUGUGAGGACAUUCCUGAGGACCGGCCAUACCCCCAUCCCCAACUCAGAAAGGAAAGGACUCCGGAGAGUCCAGCUGUCCUCUUUCCUCAGCCCUGGAAUGAAUAGGAGCGGAGGGCCUGUAAGUGACGCCUGGACCCAGGCCAGCUGAGACAGCACCCCAGGCCCCGACAGGCUUCUCCAUGCCAGGAGCAUCGCCAGCCUGGGCCGGGCCUGGGUACGCGUGGUCCCCACACUUCCUUCUGAUGCUUUCUGGGUGUGGGUGCCCAGUUCCAAGAGCUUUGCUCACGCCAGCGUCCCUGGGAGGUGCGCACCCUGAGCGAGCCUGGAGGGGGCAACCCUCCCUGGCCAGGCAGAGACCUCACAGAGGCAGGCCCACCCCUCCUGUCAACACGGGGCGCCCUGGGCUGGGCUGGCGGACCUCACCCUGAGAUGCCUGCUCGUGUCCUCUGGCAGGGACUCCAGGAAUCGGCAACUGAAGUCCUGAGGCACCUGUCCUGAGGUCACAGAGCCAUGGAGGACCAGGCUGAGCCAGGAGACAAGGUUGCCAUUCCCCUGAGCAGCGUCAGCAUGCCUCUGGGUGCGUGGAGCGUGCAGUGCCCGUUGGAGGAGGCCCAGCAGGAGGCGAGCGAAGACCAAGGCCUGGAGGGGGCCCAGCCCUCGCCUCAGGAUGGGCCAGCCAC